UGGGGAAUCUUCCGCAAUGGACGAAAGUCUGACGGAGCAACGCCGCGUGAGUGAUGACGGCCUUCGGGUUGUAAAGCUCUGUUAAUCGGGACGAAUGGUUCUUGUGCGAAUAGUGCGAGGAUUUGACGGUACCGGAAUAGAAAGCCACGGCUAACUACGUGCCAGCAGCCGCGGUAAUACGUAGGUGGCAAGCGUUGUCCGGAAUUAUUGGGCGUAAAGCGCGCGCAGGCGGAUUGGUCAGUCUGUCUUAAAAGUUCGGGGCUUAACCCCGUGAUGGGAUGGAAACUGCCAAUCUAGAGUAUCGGAGAGGAAAGUGGAAUUCCUAGUGUAGCGGUGAAAUGCGUAGAUAUUAGGAAGAACACCAGUGGCGAAGGCGACUUUCUGGACGAAAACUGACGCUGAGGCGCGAAAGCCAGGGGAGCGAACGGGAUUAGAUACCCCGGUAGUCCUGGCCGUAAACGAUGGGUACUAGGUGUAGGAGGUAUCGACCCCUUCUGUGCCGGAGUUAACGCAAUAAGUACCCCGCCUGGGGAGUACGACCGCAAGGNUG
RNAcentral lists this ribosomal RNA (550 nucleotides) under uncultured bacterium. RNAcentral describes it as "bacterial SSU rRNA". It matches the Rfam family "Bacterial small subunit ribosomal RNA", at positions 355 to 896 of the family's 1533-position model. The record is from RNAcentral.